UAUGGAGAAUUCCCAGAAUGGAAACCAAUGAAAGUCAGAAACUAUUUAGCCUCAGAGAGCCAUGUCUAUACCACUAAAAGGGGAAAGAAGGUAGAUUUCUGCCAGCAACAAUGAAGCAAACAAAGUCAAACUCAGGCUAAAUUCUAGAAAUCCUGAAAAUAUGGCUUGUCAGCACAUAAGAAGAUAAGUGAAGAUCAUCAGGAUUCUAGAAUUCCCUAAAAAUAAAUUAUGCCAAACCAAGCUUAUUCCUGAUUAUGAUACAUUUAAUGGAUUCUUAAUGGUCUGAAUUAAAUUGAAUGCUAUAGAUGUCCCCUAUCUAGAUUCAGCAAGGCUAGGCUUUUUAAAAAUCUCUUAUAAUGCUCUUGUGGAUAAAUAUAAAAAAAAAAAAGUGGGCACUGUACAUUCAUAUAUAGUUUAAUGACAGAGUCCAAAGAGAAUUAAUGAAUCUCUGCCCAUCUGGUAGAAGAUCUCUAGUUCCGUAAAGCUUUGGUGUUCAAUUCUGUCCUGAUCACUACUGUAAUCAAGGGAUUGCAUGUCUUUCAAAUUGGAGAAAGCACAAAGCAAAGAAUACUAAUAUACUGGAUAACAGAAUCAGAAUCUAAAAGACCCACAAUAAUGUAAAUUCCUAAAUUCAAGUUUAAAAAAAAAAAAAACCCAAAACUUUAACUUCAAGCA
Molecule: long non-coding RNA, 675 nt
Organism: Sarcophilus harrisii (Tasmanian devil)
Lineage: Eukaryota; Metazoa; Chordata; Mammalia; Dasyuromorphia; Dasyuridae
Exons: 2
Source: RefSeq, a predicted model, not a curated record